GCUUGAUAUUAUCUCAAGGUUCAGAGUUACAGAUACAGGGGAUCAGAUCGAGGAUCUGUCCAAUUUCUAUCAAGUACUCUAGGGUUCUAAGGGUAGCUAGCUAUUACACUUGGAGAAAAGGGGAAAGAUAAUCUUCGGCUCGGCGAGCGGGUCCCUUAUAGCUGGGAGCAGGUGGCGAUGACUUGAGACGGAAGGAUCCGUUGCCGUCACUGUUACAGUCAGGCUGGUGGCGGCAACGGGUGACGGUGAACAGGACACCGGAGAGCCGUCGAUCUUCACUUACUGGGUUGAUCCCAACCGUCCGAUUCCCAUAGACUGAACUCUGUUUCUUCAGUGCAGGUGUUCUGUUCUUCAGUUAACCAGAAUAAGCUGUCAGGGUCCUGACAUGGUGGCGCACGGGUCAGGUCUGGGCUGGGCAGAAGGCCAGCCCCUGCGGGGGAAAGGAGUGGCCGAGCGGAGGUUGGUGCAGCGGCAACUGAGGACGGGGUCGGCCGUGGAGGGAGGCUCGCCGGCGGAUCAGUCGGAGCAAGGAGGCAGGGUAGACCAUGGAGGGAUUUUGCCUUGUGGUCGAUUCAGUUCGCCGUUCUCUCCUACUCGAGCCGCUGCAUCGUUCAACCUUUAGCUUUGAGUGUAAUUUGUUAUCGCUGCUUUGGAGCUGCGCAGGGGGCCGCCGCCAAGGACCUCCCGGAGAUCCUCUAUGGUGUCCUCCACGCCCCCCCGCGACGAGCGCAAGGACCAGGACGACGUCGCCGUCCAGUACCGCCGCGGCGGCCCCGGGGGCAAGAGCGGCAAACGGCGCUGCGUCAGCGGCGGCAGGGCAGCCGCGGCUGAGGCCGCCAAGGCCCGGCGCGAGAAGGAGGCGGAGCAAACGCAGGCCAUGCUCGCGUGCUAUGACUCUGACGAGGCCUUCCGCAACCUCUAUGAUGGCGUCGCUAACCUCUUCGCCGGGCUGCUCAAGUUGGGCCUGGAGCACCUGUGCGUGGGCGACACGACCAAGAUCGGGUUCGCCGCCAAGUGAGGCCAUCGCGCGACUCGAGCCCCGAGUACCUCGCUAUCCCCCACAAGCACUAUGCCUGCCGCGUCUGCAACCGGCUCCGCCGCGAGGUCCAGGUGCCGCUCCUCAAGGUGCUCGAGCUUGCCGAGCUCUACAUGAGCGCCUGCAAGUGGGACGAGCUGCCCUACGCGCGCGUGGCGUCCACGGCCAUGCGCCAGUACAAGGAGGCGUCCUGGAUGUGCUUCUUUCUUCUUAUCAUGGGGUCAGCGACGGCGAACGGCACCCAGUAGGGCUGGCCGAGGAAGAGGGUGAGACGUGGGGAUUGAAGAAGGGUUCCAGGACUAUAUUGAUGCCAUCGUCAAGUCAUGUAGACUAAUUGUAGAACAAAUCUAUACUUUUGCUGGGACUAAAAGUGAAAAUGAUAAUUGGGACCAAAACUAUGCAUUUCUAGGAAAUAAUAAAUAUGCAAAAGGAUUAUCCACGGGAUGGAGCAGAGGCCGGCGUGGGCCGCAAGGAGCAGCAGGGGCAGAAUGGUGCUCGCUUGCCGGGCGUUGGCCCUCGGAUGAAUUCGACGCCUGAGUCGAGCUGACGAGCCCUAUGGUUUGCUAUCAAUCUCUCAAAAAGGAAAAGACAACAUUACUUUGUUCUUGGGAGAAACUUCCUGUAGAGUCGCUACCUUGACAGAGAUAAAUAUGCGAUCAAGGAUAUGUUUAGUGGUUUUUCAGGAAGAAACUUGGAGGAUAUUUUUGAAGAUAGUUUGGUGCUCCCAUGGUUAUUUUGUCGAGAUUGUCCUUCUGUUCAUUAUUUGGGAACCAUCUCCUGCAUCUCAGCUACUGUCCAGCUGCUGCCCUUAUGGUGAUUGAUUAAUGGUGUAUGUUUUCCUAUUAGUUUCUCUGUAUGCCAAUGUCUGAAUUAUGUCUUGACGUUUUACAUUUCUCCAGGCCUUGGAUUCCCUGAGAUGCGCUAUUCAUAGGCAUGCACUUUCUAAUAAAAUUAUGGCAAUCAAUUUGAACAAGUAAUUUAUCUAGCUACAACAACCUAUUGUUUAUGUUCCUUGCUUUCGCAAAUAGUAGUUUAUAGUCUAUAUCUGCCAAAUAUUUACACAUUAGUUUAGCCACAAAGUAAGAUGUCAUACAUUAGUGAUGGGUUUGUUAUUCUGCUGUCGUUUCAUGUUGGUUAGCCAUGAUAAAUCUAAUUUCUAGAGUAGGUAGAUGAUCCGUGUCAGGUUUCUUUUAGAGAUCGAAAUAUGGUUCGACUCUGAAAUAAGUAGUAUGGCGUCCAGUUCGGCAUAGGUAGUAGAAAGCAUACUAAUCCCAUUUACAUACUAUGCAAAACUGGAAGGCCUUCUAAAGCUCUGAAACUACUAUUUGUUGUGUAAUAUGUAUCCCCUUUUCAUACUUUGUAUAUGCUCUCUACUUAGUAGGCAAAAGUACAUGAGAACGAUGGCCUACAGGAUGUGAAUUGCACUAAAAUAUAUGCAGGUUUUGUGCCAGUUAGAAACUCGAGGUCCAAAACUCAAGGAUGAUGGCCCAAAACUCGAGGACUCUAUAUUCAGAAACUACACAUGUUUCUGAAUAUUGACUUGAGUUUUGGGGAAUGGUGCGCUCUAAUUUGGAAGUGGCAUUUCCUAAUGUAUUCACACAGUUAGAUAUCAUAUUAUAUAUUUUUUCUCUUACUUGAAACUUCUGCCAUGUAAAGCUAGGUUGUCUUUGAUUUGUUGUUGUGUUAGGUAUUGAAUAAACUGGCUUGUUUGGCUAACCUUCCUUUCCUUUUAUUUUGCAGGCUCUAGAAUCGCUAACGUUGCUCCUUGACUGUUCCUUUGGUCAAGGUUUGUCCUUGUCAUUCUUUUCUAAGCACUGCACUUUUCUACCCUAUUUGUUUACUACUUAUUGUCGUGUUAAUUCCUCUGUUCCUGAUUUUUCCAGGUGUUGUGUUUGUGUGUUUGUUUUUGUGGUGCUGCUUAUAUGUGUGACUACCGUAUGAGCGUAUAUAUAUGCUGAAAAGUAAAAUGAUUUUUCCUUGGCACGAUACAUAAUUUGUAAUGAGAUGGUAGUACAUCAGUAUAUUUAUAGGAAAAAAUUAUAGUCGUACUUUUAACAUGGAUUGGUGGUUCAUCACAAUUUUUCUAGCUUCUUUUGUCCUCCAAAUGAUAUAGAAGGCAGUCAAGUUGCAUCCUCUAAUUUCUCGUGAUUUUUGUAGGACCUACUAUGAUGCAUAUUCGAAAGAGUGCAUCUAUUGUUUCGGCUAAAAAUUGAUUUCUAUUUGAAGGAGUGCAUCUAUUGUGCAUCUAUGCCAGAAGACAGUGUGCUGUUUUUUAUUCCAUGCUCCAAAUAGUUCAUGUCCGAUUCAUAGACAUCCUUGAAUUGCUUAACGAUGAUGGCAUGCUUGGUGUUCAUAUUUUUGUCAGCCAAAUAAUAAUAGGUGCACUUGACUGUUUGAGGAAAUCAACUGAAAGCUAAAUUCAGUUAGAAUUAGAUUUUUGCACGUGUGCUCUUGAUGCUUCACGUACGACCAGUUCUCUCGAAUAAUGAGUUACUCCCUCAAUUUUACAAUAGAGAUAAUUUGUCAAAAUUGUGUUUUUGUAA
Triticum dicoccoides is the source of this 3579-nucleotide RNA transcript. It is a transcript of the gene named translation initiation factor IF-2-like, with no coding region annotated. Lineage: Eukaryota; Viridiplantae; Streptophyta; Magnoliopsida; Poales; Poaceae. The record is from RefSeq and is a predicted model, not a curated record. The transcript is spliced from 6 exons.